This 2267-nucleotide ribosomal RNA is filed under the name Campylobacter jejuni. RNAcentral describes it as "partial 23S ribosomal RNA". It matches the Rfam family "Bacterial large subunit ribosomal RNA", at positions 1 to 2116 of the family's 2925-position model. The record is from RNAcentral. Lineage: Bacteria; Pseudomonadati; Campylobacterota; Epsilonproteobacteria; Campylobacterales; Campylobacteraceae.
UAAAAAAAGGUAAGCUACUAAGAGCGAAUGGUGGAUGCCUUGACUGGUAAAGGCGAUGAAGGACGUACUAGACUGCGAUAAGCUACGGGGAGCUGUCAAGAAGCUUUGAUCCGUAGAUUUCCGAAUGGGGCAACCCAAUGUAUAGAGAUAUACAUUACCUAUAUAGGAGCGAACGAGGGGAAUUGAAACAUCUUAGUACCCUCAGGAAAAGAAAUCAAUAGAGAUUGCGUCAGUAGCGGCGAGCGAAAGCGCAAGAGGGCAAACCCAGUGCUUGCACUGGGGGUUGUAGGACUGCAAUGUGCAAGAGCUGAGUUUAGCAGAACAUUCUGGAAAGUAUAGCCAUAGAGGGUGAUAGUCCCGUAUGCGAAAAACAAAGCUUAGCUAGCAGUAUCCUGAGUAGGGCGGGACACGAGGAAUCCUGUCUGAAUCCGGGUCGACCACGAUCCAACCCUAAAUACUAAUACCAGAUCGAUAGUGCACAAGUACCGUGAGGGAAAGGUGAAAAGAACUGAGGUGAUCAGAGUGAAAUAGAACCUGAAACCAUUUGCUUACAAUCAUUCAGAGCACUAUGUAGCAAUACAGUGUGAUGGACUGCCUUUUGCAUAAUGAGCCUGCGAGUUGUGGUGUCUGGCAAGGUUAAGCAAACGCGAAGCCGUAGCGAAAGCGAGUCUGAAUAGGGCGCUUAGUCAGAUGCUGCAGACCCGAAACGAAGUGAUCUAUCCAUGAGCAAGUUGAAGCUAGUGUAAGAACUAGUGGAGGACUGAACCCAUAGGCGUUGAAAAGCCCCGGGAUGACUUGUGGAUAGGGGUGAAAGGCCAAUCAAACUUCGUGAUAGCUGGUUCUCUCCGAAAUAUAUUUAGGUAUAGCGUUGUGUCGUAAUAUAAGGGGGUAGAGCACUGAAUGGGCUAGGGCAUACACCAAUGUACCAAACCCUAUCAAACUCCGAAUACCUUAUAUGUAAUCACAGCAGUCAGGCGGCGAGUGAUAAAAUCCGUCGUCAAGAGGGAAACAACCCAGACUACCAGCUAAGGUCCCUAAAUCUUACUUAAGUGGAAAACGAUGUGAAGUUACUUAAACAACCAGGAGGUUGGCUUAGAAGCAGCCAUCCUUUAAAGAAAGCGUAAUAGCUCACUGGUCUAGUGAUUUUGCGCGGAAAAUAUAACGGGGCUAAAGUAAGUACCGAAGCUGUAGACUUGCACACAACUUAGAUUAUUUAAGUUUAGAAUAUGAGAAACUAAGUUAUAUGUUUAGUUAUAUUUUUACUGAUUUUUAUAGAGUAAAGAUAGAAAUAAAACUUAGUAAAAUCAGUAAAAAUAUUCUUAGGCUAAAGUUAAGUAGUUUAAGUUGUGUGCAAGUGGUAGGAGAGCGUUCUAUUUGCGUCGAAGGUAUACCGGUAAGGAGUGCUGGAGCGAAUAGAAGUGAGCAUGCAGGCAUGAGUAGCGAUAAUUAAUGUGAGAAUCAUUAACGCCGUAAACCCAAGGUUUCCUACGCGAUGCUCGUCAUCGUAGGGUUAGUCGGGUCCUAAGUCGAGUCCGAAAGGGGUAGACGAUGGCAAAUUGGUUAAUAUUCCAAUACCAACAUUAGUGUGCGAUGGAAGGACGCUUAGGGCUAAGGGGGCUAGCGGAUGGAAGUGCUAGUCUAAGGUUGUAGGAGGUUAUACAGGCAAAUCCGUAUAACAAUACUCCGAGAACUGAAAGGCUUUUUGAAGUCUUCGGAUGGAUAGAAGAACCCCUGAUGCCGUCGAGCCAAGAAAAGUUUCUAAGUUUAGCUAAUGUUGCCCGUACCGUAAACCGACACAGGUGGGUGGGAUGAGUAUUCUAAGGCGCGUGGAAGAACUCUCUUUAAGGAACUCUGCAAAAUAGCACCGUAUCUUCGGUAUAAGGUGUGGUUAGCUUCGUACUAGGAUUUACUCCGAAAGCGAAGAAACUUACAACAAAGAGUCCCUCCCGACUGUUUACCAAAAACACAGCACUCUGCUAACUCGUAAGAGGAUGUAUAGGGUGUGACGCCUGCCCGGUGCUCGAAGGUUAAUUGAUGGGGUUAGCAUUAGCGAAGCUCUUGAUCGAAGCCCGAGUAAACGGCGGCCGUAACUAUAACGGUCCUAAGGUAGCGAAAUUCCUUGUCGGUUAAAUACCGACCUGCAUGAAUGGCGUAACGAGAUGGGAGCUGUCUCAAAGAGGGAUCCAGUGAAAUUGUAGUGGAGGUGAAAAUUCCUCCUACCCGCGGCAAGACGGAAAGACCCCGUGGACCUUUACUACAGCUUGACA